GUUAGCUCAGUCGGUAGAGCAGUUGACUUUUAAUCAAUUGGUCGCUGGUUCGAAUCCAGCACGACCCGCCA
RNAcentral lists this transfer RNA (71 nucleotides) under Aeromonas veronii. RNAcentral's name for it is "tRNA-Lys". It matches the Rfam family "tRNA". From Rfam's summary of the family: Transfer RNA (tRNA) molecules are approximately 80 nucleotides in length. Their secondary structure includes four short double-helical elements and three loops (D, anti-codon, and T loops). The record is from RNAcentral. Lineage: Bacteria; Pseudomonadati; Pseudomonadota; Gammaproteobacteria; Aeromonadales; Aeromonadaceae.